UNUGGUCUGUCACUGACGCUGAGGCUCGAAAGCGUGGGUAGCGAACAGGAUUAGAUACCCUGGUAGUCCACGCCGUAAACGAUGAGUGCUAGGUGUUAGGCCCUUUCCGGGGCUUAGCGCCGGAGCUAACGCAAUAAGCACUCCGCCUGGGGAGUACGACCGCAAGGUUGAAACUCAAAGGAAUUGACGGGGGCCCGCACAAGCGGUGGAGCAUGUGGUUUAAUUCGAAGCAACGCGAAGAACCUUACCAGGUCUUGACAUCCCGAUGCUAUUCUUAGAGAUAGGAAGUUACUUCGGUACAUCGGAGACAGGUGGUGCAUGGUUGUCGUCAGCUCGUGUCGUGAGAUGUUGGGUUNNNNNNNNCAACGAGCGCAACCCUUAUUGUUAGUUGCCAUCAUUAAGUUGGGCACUCUAGCGAGACUGCCGGUAAUAAACCGGAGGAAGGUGGGGAUGACGUCAAAUCAUCAUGCCCCUUAUGACCUGGGCUACACACGUGCUACAAUGGUCGGUACAACGAGUUGCGAGCCGGUGACGGCAAGCUAAUCUCUGAAAGCCGAUCUCAGUUCGGAUUGGAGGCUGCAACUCGCCUCCAUGAAGUCGGAAUCGCUAGUAAUCGCGGAUCAGCACGCCGCGGUGAAUACGUUCCCGGGCCU
This 653-nucleotide ribosomal RNA is filed under the name uncultured bacterium. Its description in RNAcentral is "bacterial SSU rRNA". It matches the Rfam family "Bacterial small subunit ribosomal RNA", at positions 728 to 1381 of the family's 1533-position model. The record is from RNAcentral.